AGAGUUUGAUCCUGGCUCAGGACGAACGCUGGCGGUGUGCUUAACACAUGCAAGUCAAGGAGAACUUUAUCUUCGGAUAAAUAUUAAACUGGCGAACGGGUGAGUAACGCGUAAAUAACUUGCCUUGGAGAUUGGGAUAACAUUGGGAAACCAGUGCUAAUACCAAAUAAUGCAGCGGGCCCUUCGGGGCAUUUGUUGUUAAAGUAGGCUUCGGCUUACACUUCGAGAUAGAUUUGCGUCCGAUUAGUUUGUUGGUAGGGUAAUUGCCUACCAAGGCGAAGAUCGGUAGCUGGUCUGAGAGGAUGAUCAGCCACACUGGAAUUGAGAUACGGUCCAGACUCCUACGGGAGGCAGCAGUGAGGAAUUUUGCACAAUGGGCGAAAGCCUGAUGCAGCAACACCGCGUGAUUGAUGAAGUUUUUAGGAAUGUAAAAAUCUGUCGUAAGGGAAGAAAUGUUUCAGAUGUUAAUACCAUCUGUCAUUGACGGUACCUUACAAGAAAGGACCGGCUAACUUCGUGCCAGCAGCCGCGGUAAUACGAGGGGUCCUAGCGUUGUCCGGAUUUACUGGGCGUAAAGGGUACGUAGGCGUUUUAAAAAGUUAUGUGUUAAAUACUUUAGCUUAACUAAAGAAGUGCACAUAAAACUAUUAAAAUAGAGUUUGAGAGAGGAACGCAAAAUUCAUGGUGGAGCGGGGGACAUGCGUA
Molecule: ribosomal RNA, 705 nt
Filed under: uncultured marine bacterium
Lineage: Bacteria
Description: bacterial SSU rRNA
Rfam family: Bacterial small subunit ribosomal RNA
Source: RNAcentral